UUCUAUAUUUUGGAACUCGAUUAUGCCCAAACUAGUAGCUUCAUGAGUGUCUAUUCUUAUUUAUUUAUUUUCUGUAUGUUUGAAACUUUAAUUAUAUUGUGACCUAGUAGUUUCAUCAAUGUCUAUUCAUUUUCCUUUGUUUUUGCUUGUAUAUUAUUCCAUUUACCAAUAACAGCUUCAAUUCAUCUUGCCUGCAUGUAAGAAUUCAUAGUGAACAACAUGAUAUGAACAAAACUUAGCAGGUUAUGACUUAUGAUAGAUAAAUUAUUAGCUAAGGCCUGCAACAGUUUGAAGUGUUUCACAACCAGCCUAUGCAGUUUUUCUUGCCAAAAUUCUAAGUUAUUACUACCUCUCAUAUUUGGUUAGCUGGAUCAAGUCACCCAUUCAUUCUGAUACACAGUAUUAAGUGGUAACAUGUUAAAUGAAAUCCUUUUUGUCUCUCAUGUUUAUUCUGUUUUUGUUCAUCCAGAAUAUGCAUAUACAAUGCAA
This 489-nucleotide unclassified non-coding RNA is filed under the name Hevea brasiliensis (rubber tree). Lineage: Eukaryota; Viridiplantae; Streptophyta; Magnoliopsida; Malpighiales; Euphorbiaceae. The record is from RNAcentral.